Long non-coding RNA from Gallus gallus (chicken), 2737 nucleotides. RefSeq lists it as uncharacterized. The record is from RefSeq and is a predicted model, not a curated record. Lineage: Eukaryota; Metazoa; Chordata; Aves; Galliformes; Phasianidae. The transcript has 3 exons.
CAGCUCUUGGAGCUCACGCUUCCUUCUCCAAACUGAGAUGCCCUUACAGAGGUGCAUAAAACCUUGGCUUUCUGGGGCAAUAAAGGACUUGGUUCUGGAAUGCAGAAUCUCUCCUGUGGUAACAGAGCCAAAUGCACCGCACAGACAGGAGAGAGCUCGUGGUGCUGGAAGGAUCCCACCACGCUCUCUGAGCUGCAGGUGGGAGUGAAAGGACAUUAACACCAAUCCUGCAGGGACUGGGGGCACCUCUCCUUCCCUGGUAGGCGGGAGUGAUGUGCUCUGCCUUCCUCCUUCCACACGAAAACCCAUAGGAGGUGCCCAAAGAGGACAAAUCCUUAUAGAAGACUCUUCCUGUGUUUUCUCGCUGAACUUCAGUUUUCCUCAGACUUAUCUGAAGAGGACAGAGGUAUGAAAGAUGAAGUGAUGUUCCUUCCCAUGGCUCCACUGGGGAUGGGAGUAGAGCCAAACCUGGAGUGCAGGCUGAGCCAACCAGGGGCUAGUUGUUCUCCUUCAAAACAAGCUCCUAAGUUAUAAAACUCGCUCCCUGAUGGCUUCCACUGAAAAGGCUGAAAGCACAGCCUGUGUGCUCUGCAUGCAGAACAUGAGCAGAGGCAGGACAGAAACCCAGGGCAUGCAGAGCAUCACCACUCAGCCCUCCAUCUCUUCUCCAUCUCCCUUGAAAUGGAGGAUGACAACUGGGACACCAUUGGCCCUAAGGACAAACGGUCCUGAAGAAGGACUGGCAAACUGCUUGGAGUGGCCAUGCCAGAUGGACAGGAAGAGGCUGUGUUCAAGAACCAUGGAGAUGUGGCACAAAGGAACACGUUUCCUGCAGCUGGCUCCAUCCCAUUGCCCUGUCCCCACCACUGGGCUGCAAGGCUGAUUUUAAAAGGACACAUUCCCACCUGCAAGCACAAAGCUCCUCAAAGACCAAGAGCAGAGCAGACACAAGCUGCUCGGUGCUGGCUGUCAGCAAAGCUCAGUGGCUCCAGCCCUGCAGGACUCCUGAAAGUCAGUGCGGACUGCCUGGCCGAGCUGCAGGCACGCACGGUGGUAGUAAUGCGGCAGUGAAUCAGACCCUUCGUGUUUUGUUUAAAUAUAAACAUAUUGAAUCAGUGCUUUUUUGUGAGGAAGGCUAUUCUCGCCAGCCAAGUGUUUUGACAGCUACAGCAAGGUGGUAUGAGUCACUGCCUCCGCCUCAGCCAGCCUUGGAGACAGAUACAUCUUAAUCACAUUACAUUUUUUCAACGCCUCACCACAAUCCCAGGCACGGGGCCAACCUUCCCCCCAGGGAUGGAGCGGUGGAUCCUGAGUGCGAAGUUUGCCCUCCCCUCCCGGCCAAGCCCGGCUGCUCGGAAUGCACACAGCAGCGCAGCGGCUCCCGCUGCCAUUAGCGCUAAUGGAAGUUGGGAGCAUAAAUCCCAUGUGUGGCACUGAGGGGAUGGAGGCUGCUGCCUCCCGGAUCUCCCCAGCACAGCUUCAUGGGGUCUUUAACUGUACUUUCAAAUACAUGCCCGUUCCUACUCCUUGCUCUGGGAAUAAUUACAGCGCUGCGUGGACCCACAGAGUUAUUAGGCAUGUUUGGGCAGAGGGUUAUCUUAUCUAAAUUGAAAUGGAAAUUGAUUUAUAGCAUGGCAACUUCACGAUCAAGCUGCAAAUGGCACAAAAUAGUCUUCACCUGCCCCAGGGUCCCCCAUCACACAGAGAUAGAGCCUCUCCACAGUAUGAAUUAGAGCUGAUGGUCCCAGGAGGGCUGCAGGUCAGCCCAGAUAGGGGGUUUAGUAAAUGACUGAGCAGCUGAGAGAAAGCAAAGACUGUGCUUUCCCACCUCAGGCAAUGGAAAGGGGACUGCCAGCCCCGGGUCUGCAGGUUGUACAGAGAGCUGCUCUGGGUGCCUCUGUUUUUCCCACCUUUUCUGGGGAAGAGGACAUGUCCCUGCAGUGCAGUGCUGCAGUGCUGGGGCUGGAGCAGCUGCUGCUCUCAGUGCAUCACUGCAGACGGCUGCAGGGGAAACUCGGGGGCUCAUUGGGUGAGCUGGAGCCAACAGCACCGCACACCUAAAAUGUGCCGGUGCCCCAUGGAGCUUCCUACCACAGCACAAGGGGGUGGAAGUGCAAGAGAGCUGGCUGAGAUGGAGAGUACCUCUGAGCAUCUCCUGCAUGCACAAAUAGAAAACCCAAUGCUUCUGAGCAUGCAGAGAUGGGUAUUUAUUAUCAGCAGGAGAUAUGACUUUGACAUGGCUGGAGAUACUGCUGCGUCCUUGCAGCUGCCAUCAAACUGCAGUGAUGAAUUCCCCUGCCUCUAACCUCAGCCACACUGCAAUCACAGAGUGCUCAGCUGAAACCCUGCUCUGAUUUCACAUCACACUGCUGCAUUUCUCAGGACAAGCAGCCUCAGGUCCAGUUAGUAACACAAACCACCAAAACACGGGCAGAGAACAUGUGAAUGGGAAACACUGUGAAGCCCAUGGGUUUCACGUGGACUGACAAUUGCAGAGGGUAGGGAUGGAUCUCCCACUCCCCACCUGGGCACAGAAAUCCCCCUUGAUUAUCCGAGGGAAGGUAGCAGCCUUGCUACUGGCUGGAGCUGUGGCUUUGCACUUUAAAACUGCCUUCUUCUGGGGCUUCUAAUUGCUUUAUAAAUCUCCCUAGUUCAUCUGUGGGCAUGCCUGUGUGCAAGACACAGGCAUCAGGAUAGCUCUCAUGAGUGCAUGAAAACAGAGACAUGGUGAUGGGAU